Molecule: ribosomal RNA, 521 nt
Filed under: uncultured Gemmatimonadota bacterium
Lineage: Bacteria; Pseudomonadati; Gemmatimonadota
Description: bacterial SSU rRNA
Rfam family: Bacterial small subunit ribosomal RNA
Source: RNAcentral
CGAAAGACUGACGCAGCGACGCCGCGUGCGGGAGGAAGCCCUUCGGGGUGUAAACCGCUGUUACUCGGGACGAACUUCUCGAUUCAUCGAGAUUGACGGUACCGGGGGAGGAAGCACCGGCUAACUCUGUGCCAGCAGCCGCGGUAAUACAGAGGGUGCGAGCGUUGUCCGGAAUCACUGGGCGUAAAGGGCGCGUAGGCGGCUUUUCAAGCGUGCGGUGAAAGCUCGGGGCUUAACUCCGAGUCUGCCGUGCGAACUGGGAGGCUUGAGUCUGGUAGAGGUCGAUGGAAUUCCGGGUGUAGCGGUGGAAUGCGUAGAGAUCCGGAAGAACACCGGUGGCGAAGGCGGUCGACUGGGCCAGAACUGACGCUGAGGCGCGACAGCGUGGGGAGCAAACAGGAUUAGAUACCCUGGUAGUCCACGCCGUAAACGAUGGGCACUAGGUCCUUGGGGGAGCGACCCCCUGAGGGCCGGCGCUAACGCAUUAAGUAUCCCGCCCGGGGAGUACGGUCGCAAGGCUG